Jaculus jaculus (lesser Egyptian jerboa) is the source of this 605-nucleotide long non-coding RNA. RefSeq lists it as uncharacterized. The record is from RefSeq and is a predicted model, not a curated record. Lineage: Eukaryota; Metazoa; Chordata; Mammalia; Rodentia; Dipodidae. The transcript has 3 exons.
UGUUGCUGAAAGGAGGAUGAAGAGCUCCGUAGGAACCUGCAUUGUUCUGCUAGGAGGUCGCUUAAUGACAGACUUGUAGCACUCCACCUGCACGCCUGGGACAAUACUAAGGCUGGGAGAUCAGCUCUUCGAGGGACCAGGGAAACUCAGUUCAGUAGAUGGCACUCUUUCCUCAGAGUCAGUUUUACAAUGAUGGCCUGAAAAGAUGUUUUAAAAUGCUGUGUCACAGGAGGUCCUGCCUUUCAGGUGUCCAAGGAUGGUGGACUAUUAAGUUCCCACCCUAGUCUGUGCCACACAGGACUGUUGUAGUUGGUUUCCACCCUCCACCUGUAAUCAAAAUGAGUAGGAGUGAGCUGCCAUUUUCCAAGCUACAAUUUGCUUAUCUACACAAGAAGUUACUUCUGUCAUUUCAAAACAUGUGAUAUUCACGAAUAUCAAGUAACACUGGAUGAAAAGAGAAAGGUAUUAUGAAAACUCAGUCUAUCUUGCUUGCUCUGUGGAUAUAUUCUUGGGGCCAAACCAUAUAAGAAAUCAAAUUCCAUGGUGUCCUGGAGGUUCUUCAGCACUUGUUCUCAAUCAGAAUUUUAGAGAUGACAUGUAUCAUU